Long non-coding RNA from Cuculus canorus (common cuckoo), 805 nucleotides. RefSeq lists it as uncharacterized. The record is from RefSeq and is a predicted model, not a curated record. The transcript is spliced from 3 exons. Lineage: Eukaryota; Metazoa; Chordata; Aves; Cuculiformes; Cuculidae.
UCUGCAGAACAGCCUUACUACCAAGGCACAAUAUUCUCGGGUGGUGCAAACCAGCGCAGUGUCACUAAAAAGUUAGAUGAUGAUACGUACCAACAUUUUUUUUUUUGCUGGUUCAGUGUUGUGAACUUUUACCACAAGUAGAACUCUACCCUGUGUUGUUUCGAUAAGAGACAGAGGAUGUUUCGCAAAACUUUGUGGCAGGACACAUAGCACUGGCCAGAGGGCUGUCAGAUUUGCAAAACUGGGGGAAAUGUUGCAAACAGGCAGACUGGCGCCAUUGGAGAGCAGUUCCGAAAAACAAACUCCCAGAUACUUCCCACUUUCUGUCAGGCACCCAAACACCCUCCAGUUAUGCUUUUAACAUGCUCCUGCAUCCAAAAGCUGUCUAGCCUCCAGGACCUCAAAGCACUGCCCCAGCAUCUGUGAAAGGUAUCCUAUCGUGGAAAUGUAAUUAAGGAUAAGCUGUUCUUUGGCACCAAGCUUGCUCCAGAGGCCCAAGUCCCACCCCAAACCCAACGCAAUCUUAAGAAGAGGAGGUCUGUUCCAGGACAUUGCAUAGGAAUGUAUGGCUGUGCUGCUGAGUCACCCUGAUGGAAGGAACCUCUGCUAUGCAAAGGAGAGCUGCCAGAAGAGGAACUGGAGCCCUUCCAAUACCUCACAGUCUAGUAGUUAAGCAUUGCCUGAAUUGGGCACCACGGAAUCUUGAGUCCUGUAUUCUUCCAGUCACUAGUUUAUAACUCUUAGCAUUUAAAAAGGCACCUUGUAAACAUUUAUUUCAUUGUUCUUCAUUAUAUAAUUGAGUCAU